RNAcentral lists this ribosomal RNA (357 nucleotides) under Candidatus Faecalibacterium faecigallinarum. RNAcentral's name for it is "partial 23S ribosomal RNA". It matches the Rfam family "Bacterial large subunit ribosomal RNA", at positions 2569 to 2925 of the family's 2925-position model. The record is from RNAcentral. Lineage: Bacteria; Bacillati; Bacillota; Clostridia; Eubacteriales; Oscillospiraceae.
GGGUUUGGCUGUUCGCCGAUUAAAGCGGAACGCGAGCUGGGUUCAGAACGUCGUGAAACAGUUCGGUCCCUAUCUGUCGUGGGCGCAGGAUAUUUGAUGGGAGCUGUCCCUAGUACGAGAGGACCGGGACGGACGAACCUCUGGCGCACCAGUUGUUCCGCCAGGAGCACAGCUGGGCAACUAUGUUCGGAUCGGAUAAACGCUGAAAGCAUCUAAGCGUGAAGCCGGCCCAAAGAUAAGAUAUCCCACUGAGAAAUCAGGUAAGAUCCCUUGAAGACUACAAGGUAGAUAGGCACAAUGUGUAAGUGGAGUGAUCCAUUCAGCAGGCGUGUACUAAUAGAUCGAGGGCUUGACCAG